UACGUAGGGACCAAGCGUUGUUCGGAUUUACUGGGCGUAAAGGGCGCGUAGGCGGCAAUUCAAGUCAGCUGUGAAAUCUCUGGGCUUAACCCAGAACGGCCAGCUGAUACUGCUUUGCUAGAGUGCAGAAGGGGCAAUCGGAAUUCUUGGUGUAGCGGUGAAAUGCGUAGAUAUCUGGAGGAACACCGGUGGCGAAGGCGGCAUCCUGGACCAAUAUUGACGCUGAGGAGCGAAAGCCAGGGGAGCAAACGGG
Molecule: ribosomal RNA, 253 nt
Filed under: uncultured bacterium
Lineage: Bacteria
Description: partial 16S ribosomal RNA
Rfam family: Bacterial small subunit ribosomal RNA
Source: RNAcentral